Molecule: ribosomal RNA, 429 nt
Filed under: bacterium
Lineage: Bacteria
Description: partial 16S ribosomal RNA
Rfam family: Bacterial small subunit ribosomal RNA
Source: RNAcentral
UAGGGAAUCUUCGGCAAUGGGGGCAACCCUGACCGAGCAACGCCGCGUGAGUGAAGAAGGUUUUCGGAUCGUAAAGCUCUGUUGUAAGAGAAGAACGUGUGUGAGAGUGGAAAGUUCACACAGUGACGGUAACUUACCAGAAAGGGACGGCUAACUACGUGCCAGCAGCCGCGGUAAUACGUAGGUCCCGAGCGUUGUCCGGAUUUAUUGGGCGUAAAGCGAGCGCAGCCGGUUUAAUAAGUCUGAGGUUAAAGGCAGUGGCUUAACCAUUGUUCGCUUUGGAAACUGUUAAACUUGAGUGCAGAAGGGGAGAGUGGAAUUCCAUGUGUAGCGGUGAAAUGCGUAGAUAUAUGGAGGAACACCGGUGGCGAAAGCGGCUCUCUGGUCUGUAACUGACGCUGAGGCUCGAAAGCGUGGGGAGCAAACAGG